AUUGAACGCUGGCGGCAGGCUUAACACAUGCAAGUCGAGCGGUAACAGAGAGGUGCUUGCACCUUUGCUGACGAGCGGCGGACGGGUGAGUAACGCGUAGGAAUCUACCUAGUAGUGGGGGAUAGCCCAGAGAAAUUUGGAUUAAUACCGCAUACGCCCUACGGGGGAAAGGAGGGGAUCUUCGGACCUUUCGCUAUUAGAUGAGCCUGCGUGAGAUUAGCUUGUUGGUGAGGUAAAGGCUCACCAAGGCGACGAUCUCUAGCUGGUCUGAGAGGAUGAUCAGCCACACUGGGACUGAGACACGGCCCAGACUCCUACGGGAGGCAGCAGUGGGGAAUAUUGCACAAUGGGGGGAACCCUGAUGCAGCCAUGCCGCGUGUGUGAAGAAGGCC
Molecule: ribosomal RNA, 392 nt
Filed under: uncultured bacterium
Lineage: Bacteria
Description: bacterial SSU rRNA
Rfam family: Bacterial small subunit ribosomal RNA
Source: RNAcentral